UUCAUGGCAGUCGGCAUGUAAGCGGGCC
Molecule: small RNA, 28 nt
Filed under: Bombyx mori (domestic silkworm)
Lineage: Eukaryota; Metazoa; Arthropoda; Insecta; Lepidoptera; Bombycidae
Description: ovarian small RNA-9527
Source: RNAcentral